UUUUUCAUUCAAGGCAGCAUUUUGAAUAAGGAAGAUGGCGGCUGCAGCAGUGGUUGAGUUUCAGAGAGCCCAGUCUCUCAUUAGCACGGACCGCAACGCCUCUAUCGAUAUCCUCCAUUCAAUAGUGCGGAGAGAUGUCCAAGAGAACGAUGAGGAGGCUGUCAGGGUUAA
Labrus bergylta (ballan wrasse) is the source of this 171-nucleotide non-coding RNA. The record is from RefSeq and is a predicted model, not a curated record. Lineage: Eukaryota; Metazoa; Chordata; Actinopteri; Labriformes; Labridae.